RNAcentral lists this ribosomal RNA (253 nucleotides) under uncultured bacterium. RNAcentral describes it as "partial 16S ribosomal RNA". It matches the Rfam family "Bacterial small subunit ribosomal RNA", at positions 524 to 776 of the family's 1533-position model. The record is from RNAcentral.
UACGUAGGGGGCAAGCGUUGUCCGGAUUCAUUGGGCGUAAAGAGCGUGUAGGCGGCCAGGUAGGUCGGUUGUGAAAACUGGAGGCUCAACCUUCAGAGGUCGACCGAAACCAUCUGGCUAGAGUCCGGGAGAGGAGAGUGGAAUUCCUGGUGUAGCGGUGAAAUGCGUAGAUAUCAGGAGGAACACCGAUGGCGAAGGCAGCUCUCUGGCCUGUAACUGACGCUGAGGUGCGAAAGCGUGGGGAGCAAACAGG